Vicia villosa (hairy vetch) is the source of this 356-nucleotide long non-coding RNA. RefSeq lists it as uncharacterized. The transcript has 2 exons. The record is from RefSeq and is a predicted model, not a curated record. NCBI's taxonomy places the organism in Eukaryota, Viridiplantae, Streptophyta, Magnoliopsida, Fabales, Fabaceae.
UUGGAAACGCAAAGAGGAAACUGAAGAUAGCUUGUGAUGGCAAGAGUUUAUAUGUGACUGUGUUGUAUGUGUUAUGCAGGUUUUUUUGGUUUUCGGUUCAUAAAGCAUGGUUUGGAUGGCUCAAAAUGAAAGGAUGCGAAGACAUGAUGCAAUGGGGGAGAGUUUGAAGAUGGAAUCACAGAUGCAAGCAUACUAUUGGUAGUAGCUUAGGAUUAGAACCAAUAGACCGAAACAGAUUUUUGUGUUGUUUUUGUAAUGAUAUUUUGGUUCCUAUGUGGACAUUUGGAUUUAUAAUGGGAUUUUGGAUUGAAAUGUAUGAACCAUUGGUCUUUUGUAAUGAACAUGAUUUGGAUAAA